GAUGAACGCUGGCGGCGUGCCUAAUACAUGCAAGUCGAGCGAACAGAUGAGGAGCUUGCUCCUCUGACGUGAGCGGCGGACGGGUGAGUAACACGUGGAUAACCUACCUAUAAGACUGGGAUAACUUCGGGAAACCGGAGCUAAUACCGGAUAAUAUAGUUAAUCGCAUGGUUCAAUAUUGAAAGAUGGUUUUGCUUUCACUUAUAGAUGGAUCCGCGUCGCAUUAGCUAGUUGGUAAGGUAACGGCUUACCAAGGCAACGAUGAUAAGCCGACCUGAGAGGGUGAUCGCCACACUGGGAACUGGAACACGCUCCAGACUCCUACGGGAGGAAGCAGUGGGGAAUCUUCGGCAUGGGGGGAAAGCCUGACGGGGCAACGCCGCGGGGGUGAGGAAGGUCUCCGGAUCGUAAAACUCUGUUAUUAGGGAAGAACAAAUGUGUAAGUAACUAUGCACGUCUUGACGGUACCUAAUCAGAAAGCCACGGCUAACUACGUG
Molecule: ribosomal RNA, 497 nt
Filed under: uncultured bacterium
Lineage: Bacteria
Description: partial 16S ribosomal RNA
Rfam family: Bacterial small subunit ribosomal RNA
Source: RNAcentral